RNAcentral lists this long non-coding RNA (274 nucleotides) under Trifolium pratense (red clover). RNAcentral's name for it is "long non-coding RNA (TPRA_LNC007490)". Lineage: Eukaryota; Viridiplantae; Streptophyta; Magnoliopsida; Fabales; Fabaceae. The record is from RNAcentral.
CCUCUUGAGGUAACUGAGAAUUUUUAUUGUUUUUGUCUCACCAUUUUUUUACGGGAGUUUUUCAGUUUUUCUCCCACCAUAUUCUUGUAUUAAAUUAAUUAAAUUUAUUGAGUUGAACUACAAAUUGAAAAUUAACUUAAUUAAAUAUUGGAUUGAAGUCCAUAAAUAAAGUUGAGUGAAUCUAAAAUAACAAAACAUAAACAAUAAAUGAUAAAAUUACACUAAAGAAAGGGUUGGACUCAAAUAAAAUAUCAUAAAUAAAUGGAAACAACAC